AUUUCUCAGCUGGCUGGCUAGAGACUAUAGUGCUUCAUGCACAAUGAGGGCUGUAUGCAGGCUGUGGAGAGCAGGAGUGGCCGGCCUGCCCCUUGUUCAUACAGAUUCUCCCUGAUGGAGCCUAGCCUGACAGUGACCUCGCAUCAUGCUAGCCAGCAGCUCUACUUGGCUCUGCAAGGAGAACGACGCCAGGUGGUUCUCACAAUGCGUCCAAGAGGAACUGAAUAUUACAUUGGAUGCCAGCCUCGACGUUGGCCUCAAGCUGGAGUUCGUUUGAGCCCAUGGCAGCAUCAGUGA
Molecule: long non-coding RNA, 297 nt
Filed under: Fukomys damarensis (Damara mole-rat)
Lineage: Eukaryota; Metazoa; Chordata; Mammalia; Rodentia; Bathyergidae
Description: lncRNA (ENSFDAG00000022746.1)
Source: RNAcentral